GCCCUGCUCGGUUGUGCUGGGAUGGCUGAACUUUGGCAGUGUUGUCAAUUGGUUUGUCAUUAUCCUGUUAAAAGGGAGAAAAAAAAUCAAGGUCAUGUAUUUAUCAUACAGCCCCGAAGUGGUUGUUAGAUGAUACACAGAUGUCUGAACACCAGCUGUUCACCUGAUUCCUCAUGUGUUUGUGCCCUCUCCAGACAGUCUGAGGGAUAAAUUCCACACUGCGGAUUCAGUAAAUGUACUAGUCGAGGGAAUGUCUUCAAGGAUUUGCUAAAAGAGGAGCUGUAGAAGACAUUUCUGGCUUGCCGCAUGAGAACCCUGCAGGACCUUGCUUGUUUUGGUCAAACUUCAGCAGAGUGAACCAGCCUUUGUUGGGCAGAUUUGUUUGUUUGGGGUGAGCUGUGCCAUUGCCUCUGCAGAAAGCAGGAUAAAUGGUUUAUGAAGCCAGUGGCCUCAUACAAUGACAAGUGUUUGAUCCCAAGGAGUCUUAUUUUGGCAGUGGCUGCUCUGUGAUGUGACACUAGUCCAGUUCCAUAGCCUGUACAGCAAGAGAAAGGGUGUGUGGAUGUGCUGUCUGUACACCGAGAGGCUGUAGUGCUGUCAGUAUUCACUUUCCAAAAAGUAGAUGAGCCACAAAUUCCAAGCUUCAUCCUCAGAAACACUAGAAGUAGUUGAGGAAAUCUCUUCAGAUGCUGAUAAUGCUGAGGAAGGAUCAGAGAAUACAAGGAGAAAACCAAUAGCCAUAAAGGACAGUAUUCACAGAAGGCCACGAUGAAAUGAGAUGGAGAAAACAAUUGGAUCUUUAGGUCUGAUGUUUUUAAAAUGUUUCCUGAAAAGAUUAUUGGUUCCAUACAAAACCUAGACAAGCAAGUCUGUCUGUCUCAUCUUUAUUGUCGGUUGUUUUUCCCUGACACUCUUAGCAUGUACCUACCUGUUCCAGCUUUUCAUCAUUCUGCACUGCCUACCAUUUUUGGAAGUUGUGCUUGAUUAAUGAUUGAUCACAAAAUCACAGAACUGAUAACCAAAGGUUGAGAAGAGCCCAUUGCCAGCAUGUCUCCAUUAAUAACUAAAGAAAUAUAUUGGACUCAAUGUAUCCUUCUUGUAUUAGAACACAUUUACCCCAAAUGACAGUUCAUAGGCCUUCUGCAUGCAAACUUUCCAGACACCCCGCAGUGAAAAUCCAUUUUGUUGUGAUCUGUGCAAGUGGAACAGCUCUCAAGAAAAAUCUGCAGCUAGCACAGGUGCUGGUGAGUCAAGACCAAACAACAUGUGCAGCACAGAAGAAAAGCAUGCAAGUUUAUUGGAGCUUGUUUGCAUCAUGGCUGGUGUUGGCUCUAGUGCCACCUCGUGGGUUGGGUGUUUUUAAACUGAAACACGGAGCAUUGAGCAUCUGUUGCUGGACCUGGUUGGCAGUCACAGGUGUUCAGUAACACAGAACAGUUUUGUUUUCCAACACUUCUCUCCAUAUCAAGCAAGCUUUGGCUGCUCACAUAAAUACCAGGUUUGAAUAUGAUUUGGUGUUUCUCCUUAGGCUGAAAAUACAGAAUCAUACGUCUUGCUGUGAUUAUAAGGAGCAUUUUUGAGUUCCCAUAGCUUUGUGCUGACUAGUU
Molecule: long non-coding RNA, 1607 nt
Organism: Pipra filicauda (Wire-tailed manakin)
Lineage: Eukaryota; Metazoa; Chordata; Aves; Passeriformes; Pipridae
Exons: 3
Source: RefSeq, a predicted model, not a curated record